Helianthus annuus (common sunflower) is the source of this 1315-nucleotide long non-coding RNA. RefSeq lists it as uncharacterized. The record is from RefSeq and is a predicted model, not a curated record. Lineage: Eukaryota; Viridiplantae; Streptophyta; Magnoliopsida; Asterales; Asteraceae. The transcript is spliced from 3 exons.
CCAUAAUCACCGAUGCGAUAUUCUGUCCGAUCGAUUCGGGAACCAACUAACGAAUGCCAAGGUGCUGUCUAAACAAGACUGUACUUUGUGAAUUUCGUUAAGGUUCUAAAACGAAUGCCAAAGUGAUGUCUAAAUAAGACUAUACUUUGUGAAUUUCGUUAAGGUUCUGAUCUCGUGACCAUCGUUAGGUUUGAUUGGGUUUAACACUAAUACGUAUUCCACUCUGUUAAACUAAAUGUUUAACUAUCAGAAAACUCCAAACUAUACACCUACAAUCAAACAAGAUGUUUAAUCAUCAGAAUAUUCAGAACUUUAAAGUAGAUGCUUAGUUAUCAGAAGGCAUAGAAUCAGGAGGUUUGUUUAACCAAAGACUAUAUGCUAACAAGGUGAUUACAUUAGAUUGGAAUAAGAGUUGUGAUACGGCACCAAAAAGGCUUAAAGAAGUGGCUUAUUUUAUCAAUUAAACUAAAUCAAGAAAUGUUGUUCGGGUUUAUCCCAUACUAAAGCUACCUUUGUAAAACAUGGGUUUAUUCCCGUCUGUUUAAUAAAUAAAAUCCGGUGUUUCAAAACUCUGAUAUUUUUACUAACUCACGGUCCUGAUGAAAUUUUCCGCUGCAAUAUUUUCAAAAUAACCACCGGUACCACUUAACUGCUCGCGGCUCCCAUCCAAGGUGUGGUCAGGGGCCGUGACAGAAAAUCUCGUCGCAAUGAUAUCCCACUAGAAACAACUGCCAGGCGAAAUCUCAUUUGUAAUUUUAUCUUCACUGUACCUAAAGGAUUUACCAAGGGAUAGCUCGUUGACAACGCUUCCCAUUUGGCAACCUACCAAAAAGCCUGGUGGAAGUCUCAUCCAAUAUAUCUUAUCUUCAAAUAAUCAGCAGAUUAAGAGGAUAGUGCGCUAUUAAAUAGUUAUCGCAGAUGACGACUAAGUUUGAAUUGGCACAUGUUGCUGACCCGUCGAUGAUACUCCUUUUUCACAGAAUGUUUUCAAAAUUAUAAUGUAUUAUUUUGCAAAAAAAAAUACAAAAAGUAUAUAUGUAAUGUAAUUUAUAAAGUACAAAAAUAAAAAUAAAAAUAAAAAUAAAACAAGAAUUGAAAAGACCAGCACCAAGGUACAGGUUGAUGACAGAGAUUUACAAGGAUUGCCCCUAUAUCUGGGUCCGAUGACAAUGCUGAACAAAUUCGUGUGCCUGUAAACUCUAACUGUGCCGAUCGUAAAAAUUUGAUCUCCACUGAUAAACCUGAAUCUUUGAUGAUCAAGAACCCUACAUCCUCGGCGAUGGUCUCUCCUCAGGGUAGAUAGUUUUUAUUGUAU